AUGGAGGUUACAUUACUCAUGGAGGUUACAUUGCUCAUGGAGGUUACAUUACACAUGGAGGUUACAUUACUCAUGGAGGUUACAUUACAUUACUCAUGGAGGUUACAUUACUCAUGGAGGUUACAUUACUCAUGGAGGUUACAUUACACAUGGAGGUUACAUUACAUUACACAUGGAGAUUACAUUACUCAUGGAGGUUACAUUACAUUACACAUGGAGGUUACAUUACAUUACACAUGGAGGUACAUUCCAUUACACAUGGAGAUUACAUUACAUUACUCAUGGAGGUUACAUUACUCAUGGAGGUUACAUUACUCAUGGAGGUUGCAUUACUCAUGGAGGUUGCAUUACUCAUGGAGGUUGCAUUACUCAUGGGGGUUACAUUACUCAUGGGGGUUACAUUACUCAUGGAGGUUACAUUACAUUACAAAUGGAGGUGACAUUACAUUACUCAUGGAGGUUACAUUACAUUACACAUGGAGGUUACAUUACAUUACACAUGGAGGCUACAUUACACAUGGAGGUUACAUUACACGUGGAGGUUACAUUACUCAUGGAGGUUACAUUACAUUACUCAUGGAGGUUACAUUACAUUACACAUGGAGGUUACAUUACAUUACACAUGGAGGUUACAUUACACAUGGAGGUUACAUUACACAUGGAGGUUACAUUACUCAUGGAGGUUACAUUACAUUACUCAUGGAGGUUACAUUACAUUACACAUUGAGGUUACAUUACAUUACUCAUGGAGGUUACAUUACUCAUGGAGGUUACAUUACACAUGGAGGUUACAUUACUCAUGGAGGCUACAUUACAUUACUCAUGGAGGUUACAUUACUCAUGGAGGUUGCAUUACUCAUGGGGGUUGCAUUACUCAUGGGGGUUACAUUACUCAUGGAGGUUACAUUACACAUGGAGGUUACAUUACACAUGGAGGUUACAUUACACAUGGAGGUUACAUUACAUUACACAUGGAGAUUACAUUACUCAUGGAGGUUACAUUACAUUACACAUGGAGGUACAUUCCAUUACACAUGGAGAUUACAUUACAUUACUCAUGGAAGUUACAUUACUCAUGGAGGUUACAUUACUCAUGGAGGUUGCAUUACUCAUGGGGGUUACAUUACUCAUGGAGGUUACAUUACUCAUGGAGGUUACAUUACACAUGGAGGUUACAUUACACAUGGAGGUUACAUUACACAUGGAGGUUACAUUACAUUACACAUGGAGGUUACAUUACACAUGGAGGUUACGUUACAUUACAAAUGGAGGUUACAUUACAUUACAAAUGGAGGUUACAUUACAUUACUCAUGGAGAUUACAUUACUCAUGGAGGUUACAUUACACAUGGAGGUUACAUUACACAUGGAGGUUACAUUACAUUGCAAAUGGAGGUUACAUUACAUUAAUCAUGGAGGUUACAUUACUCAUGGAGGUACAUUACACAUGGAGGUUACAUUACUCAUGGAGGUACAUUACUCAUGGAGGUUGCAUUACACAUGGAGGUUACAUUACACAUGGAGGUUACAUUACUCAUGGAGGUUACAUUACAUUACUCAUGGAGAUAACAUUACAUUACUCAUGGAGGUUACAUUACUCAUGGGGGUUACAUUACACAUGGAGGUUACAUUACACAUGGAGGUUACAUUACUCAUGGAGGUUACAUUACAUUACUCAUGGAGAUAACAUUACAUUACACAUGGAGGUUACAUUACUCAUGGGGGUUACAUUACUCAUGGAAGUUACAUUACUCAUGGAGGUUACAUUACUCAUGGAGGUUACAUUACACAUGGAGGUUACAUUACAUUACACAUGGAGAAUUCCCUUGUAACGAGACUGUGACGUAGCUUGACCUCCGUUCUCCCUGAGUGAAAGAGGUGAGCACUGUGACAGACACUCCAACACUGAGUCAGAGGUUUAGGUACUUUAACAAAUUUCUCAAAUGUGCUGCUGUUCCCCUUUAAUGUAGCAAAGUGAAUUCCAUGUUGUUAAUGUAGCUCUGCAAAGCGGUAACACGAUAGCACAGCCGAGCUCUGACACCUAGCCUAGCAGCUUGGACAGCCUUUGUUAUCCUUUUACAACCAUAGCGUUUACAAGUUUAGACUAGCCCUGGCUAAUUUAGACUAGCCCUGGCUAAUUUAGACUAGCCCUGGCUAAUUUAGACUAGCCCAGACUAAUUUAGACUAGCCCAGGCAAAUUUAGACUAGCCCUGGCUAAUUUAGACUAGCCCUGGCUAAUUUAGACUAGCCCUGGCUAAUUUAGACUAGCCCUGGCUAAUUUAGACUAGCCCUGGCUAAUUUAGACUAGCCCUGGCUAAUUUAGACGAGGGCCUAGACCUGUCUGCUGUCCCUGGUGUGUGUUACAAUGUACUGUACUCGCUGGCCCCUGGCCCUGGGGAGCCGUGGUCUGGGAAGGGUUCAGAGCCGGGGACUUGGACGGGAACCCAACAGAUUUAUACGUGUUUCAGUUGGAAUAACCCAGGGAUAUGUCCCAGGGUUGUCUGGUUGUUUCAGCGAGGGGGGAUUUUCUAAAAGUCGUCUCCUGUUUCUACUGGGUCAGCGUUUUGUCCUACUGAGGACAUCACGUGGUGACAGGAGGCAUUAAAAUGCACAUUUCUCCUUUUUUUCUUCUUUCUCUCCGUUCUCUUGACCUAAUUCCUUUUCCACGACUGCCGUGCUGUUGCUUUCCUGUCUGCCGGUGGCUCUGAACAGUCUACGCCAAACGCAUAUGACUUUAACUGUAUUUAAAAAUCGGUUACACAACUGUACUGUUAUUGUUAAGUCUAUUCGGCGUACGCCUUUACCUGGGCGGACAUGACAUUUUGCUUUAAUGGACGAACCAGAGCAAUUUAUAAGGAUCUUGAAAGACGUUUUAAAAUGUGAGACUUUGGACCACACACACGAAGUACAUUUUGCUUUUCGUUAACCGUUACUCAACCACAACCUCCUCAGAUGAAUAACAAGUAUUUUCCUUGUCUGUCUCUGUGGCUAGAUCUACCAUUACAACUAAGGCUUGAUUUCAAAAUACAUUUUUCUUCCCCUUUAAACAAAACACACAUCUCUUUCUAAUGGCGCGCCUGAGAAUGGACAGUUUACUGUAAAAAACUAAACAAGCCAAGGCAAAGAAUUGACCCUGAAAUAUGAAACUGUGAUAUAUUUGAGAGGACUAAAAGAAACCUAACAUUACUCUUUAUAGUCACAUUAUUAAUAUGCAGCACACUUUUUAAAGAGGAUGCACUCAUAUUUCAGGUUUGAGAGUCACGAAACGAACCAAAGCUGGUUGGGCGUCUUUCAUAUUUCUGUGGGUGUGUGCACGCUCUGAUGAUGCCUGUACUGACACUCAGCCAGUGCCUAACCUGAUUCAUUACUUUGGUUACUGUUUCCACAGACCCAUAAAG
Molecule: long non-coding RNA, 3397 nt
Filed under: Oncorhynchus mykiss (rainbow trout)
Lineage: Eukaryota; Metazoa; Chordata; Actinopteri; Salmoniformes; Salmonidae
Description: lncRNA (ENSOMYG00000053959.1)
Source: RNAcentral